Molecule: ribosomal RNA, 253 nt
Filed under: uncultured bacterium
Lineage: Bacteria
Description: partial 16S ribosomal RNA
Rfam family: Bacterial small subunit ribosomal RNA
Source: RNAcentral
UACGGAGGGGGCUAGCGUUGUUCGGAAUUACUGGGCGUAAAGCGCACGCAGGCGGAUUGAUAAGUCAGGGGUGAAAUCCCGGAGCUCAACUUCGGAAUUGCCUUUGAUACUGUCUAUCUUGAGUCCGGGAGAGGUGAGUGGAAUUCCUAGUGUAGAGGUGAAAUUCGUAGAUAUUCGGAGGAACACCAGUGGCGAAGGCGGCUCACUGGCCCGAUACUGACGCUGAGGCACGAAAGCGUGGGGAGCAAACAGG